This 76-nucleotide transfer RNA is filed under the name Campylobacteraceae bacterium. RNAcentral's name for it is "tRNA-Lys". It matches the Rfam family "tRNA". From Rfam's summary of the family: Transfer RNA (tRNA) molecules are approximately 80 nucleotides in length. Their secondary structure includes four short double-helical elements and three loops (D, anti-codon, and T loops). The record is from RNAcentral. Lineage: Bacteria; Pseudomonadati; Campylobacterota; Epsilonproteobacteria; Campylobacterales; Campylobacteraceae.
GACCCGCUAGCUCAGUUGGUAGAGCAUCUCCCUUUUAAGGAGGUGGCCGAAGGUUCAAAUCCUUCGCGGGUCACCA